RNAcentral lists this ribosomal RNA (468 nucleotides) under uncultured bacterium. RNAcentral describes it as "partial 16S ribosomal RNA". It matches the Rfam family "Bacterial small subunit ribosomal RNA", at positions 28 to 507 of the family's 1533-position model. The record is from RNAcentral.
GACGAACGCUGGCGGCGUGCUUAACACAUGCAAGUCGAACGGAAAGGCCCUGCUUUUGUGGGGUGCUCGAGUGGCGAACGGGUGAGUAACACGUGAGUAACCUGCCCUUGACUUUGGGAUAACUUCAGGAAACUGGGGCUACUACCGGAUAGGAGCUCCUGCUGCAUGGUGGGGGUUGGAAAGUUUCGGCGGGUGGGGAUGGACUCGCGGCUUAUCAGCUUGUUGGUGGGGUAGUGGCUUACCAAGGCUGUGACGGGUAGCCGGCCUGAGAGGGUGACCGGCCACAUUGGGACUGAGAUACGGCCCAGACUCCUACGGGAGGCAGCAGUGGGGAAUAUUGCACAAUGGGCGGAAGCCUGAUGAAGCAACGCCGCGUGCGGGAUGACGGCCUUCGGGUUGUAAACCGCUGUCGCCUGUGACGAAGCGUGAGUGACGGUAAUGGGUAAAGAAGCACCGGCUAACUACGUG